Molecule: long non-coding RNA, 1584 nt
Organism: Gorilla gorilla gorilla (western lowland gorilla)
Lineage: Eukaryota; Metazoa; Chordata; Mammalia; Primates; Hominidae
Exons: 2
Source: RefSeq, a predicted model, not a curated record
AUCAGCUGAAGUCUCACAGCCAGCGAAUGGCAGGCCAAGGCACCAGGGCCUAAGUCUGCCUGCCUCUUCCACCCACCUUCUGUCAUCACAAGCCUUCUGAUCUCCAGCCCUCUGAUCUGCCCCAGUGGGACCCUCCUGCGUCUCUGCUCUAGUUGUAGAGGACCCAUCAGGCACUUAGAGAGAAAUGAGUGGUGUUGUGAACAUUCGACUGUGUCCAUGUGGAAUCCACACACACAGUUUGCCUGAAAAUGACUGAUAGGAUGGAAACUGACAAGUCAUCAUCCGCUUCGGGCACCAGCGAUGACUGGUUAACGUGAAUAUUGUGUUGAUUUCCGCUAGAUAGAAGAAGAUGUCACUUGUCGUUAAUGGGGUGUCACACGUACACUUGCCUAAAGGAAAAUGCUCUUUUGGUGAUUGUUCUCAAUUUUCCCCUCAUUUUAUAGCCAUAAAAAAGAAAAGAUUCAGCAGAAAGGAUGAAUCCACCUAGGGGUAGGAUGGAAAGGCAUUCUUCUCAUUUAUUUCCUUCUUUCUUUACCAGAACAACCAAAACCCAGUGAAAAUGCUGGUGCAAGUCAGAAGAGGGGGACCUGGGUUCUAAGAGCAGCCAGGUACUCUGGGCUCCAGAUCAGAGCCUCAGAAUCCAGCAGUUAUGCCCACAAGGUAGCCAAAGUCCAGCAGUACCACCAGUCUCUCGGCCAGCUAUACUUGCCUCUGCUCAACAAUGAUGAUUUGAACAUACAUGUACAAAUAAUAACAGAUAACAUUACUGAGCACUUUACUAUGAACUAUGGAAUGUGCUAGGUAAAGACGUUACCUCCAUGUAAGCCAUAAAAUCAACCUAUGGGGCAGGUGCAGAUCCACAAACCCUGAUUUAAGAAUUCUGAAUCCUCAAAAGCUUUGAAAACCAAAAGAUUUUUUCAUACGUGGUAAUAUGGUCACAUACUUUGGAGGAACUGGAUGCAUUUUUCCUCUGGUCUCCAGAGAAGAAACUGAGACAACAGCAAGUCACAGAUUCAAGCUGUGUUCAUAAUGUGUUUCCACGUGGAGGUCACACUUUCAUGUUCACGGGCAGAUGAAUUCUAACACCAAACACCAGGCUGAAUAGGUGUUCCCAUUGCAAGAGAAGUGCUGUGCACAAUUUUUAUUUGCAUUUCAAAACCCUAACAAAUGGCCACAAUCAACUACUACAAAUUUCUCCUAAUUAGUUUUAGUCUGCACUUCUGUCACCUUUAGGAGAGAGCCAAAGAUUUUAACCUUCAAAAUUAUCAGCAAUGCAUGUCAGAAAGCGUUUCAAAGAAGAGUCAAAGUGCGUGUAGAAACUAAUUGCUGUAUCUGAAAGUGCUGUUUGAAGAAUUUUUCAGUCUUCAGAGAAGCAAGUCCCCACCCCUUGGGAAAACUAGUCUUCAAACUAAAAGUUUCCCCAAAUCAUAUAUCUGAGAAAAAUGUUAAAACAGACUUACCCACAAAGGCAAAGAAAUAAAACUGUAAGAAUAAAUAAAUCAGAAAUCAGAUGUCUCUCCCCUGUUUAAAAUCCUCCAACAGCUUCGUACUUUACUUGGAAUAAAACGCAAUUCCUUUACCAUC